GUCAGAGUUUGAUCCUGGCUCAGAUUGAACGCUGGCGGAAUGCUUUACACAUGCAAGUCGAACGGUAGAGGGGGCAACCCCUUGAGAGUGGCGAACGGGUGAGUAAUAUAUCGGAACGUGCCCAGUCGUGGGGGAUAACGUAGCAAAAGUUACGCUAAUACCGCAUACGAUCUAAGGAUGAAAGCGGGGGAUCGCAAGACCUCGCGCGAUCGGAGCGGCCGAUGUCAGAUUAGGUAGUU
RNAcentral lists this ribosomal RNA (239 nucleotides) under uncultured Limnohabitans sp. RNAcentral's name for it is "partial 16S ribosomal RNA". It matches the Rfam family "Bacterial small subunit ribosomal RNA", at positions 1 to 250 of the family's 1533-position model. The record is from RNAcentral. Lineage: Bacteria; Pseudomonadati; Pseudomonadota; Betaproteobacteria; Burkholderiales; Comamonadaceae.